GUAAAAAAGAGAUACAUAUGCUAAAAUUGGAAUAAUACAAAAUAGAUUAGCAUGGCCCCUGCUCAAGGAUGACAUGCAAAUUCAUGAAGAAUCCUGUACUUAG
Mesocricetus auratus (golden hamster) is the source of this 103-nucleotide small nuclear RNA. Lineage: Eukaryota; Metazoa; Chordata; Mammalia; Rodentia; Cricetidae. The record is from Ensembl.